RNAcentral lists this ribosomal RNA (253 nucleotides) under uncultured bacterium. Its description in RNAcentral is "partial 16S ribosomal RNA". It matches the Rfam family "Bacterial small subunit ribosomal RNA", at positions 524 to 776 of the family's 1533-position model. The record is from RNAcentral.
UACGUAGGGUGCGAGCGUUGUCCGGAAUUAUUGGGCGUAAAGAGCUCGUAGGCGGUUUGUUGCGUCGGAUGUGAAAUCCCGAGGCUCAACCUCGGGUCUGCAGUCGAUACGAGCAAACUAGAGUGUUGCAGGGGAGACUGGAAUUCCUGGUGUAGCGGUGAAAUGCGCAGAUAUCAGGAGGAACACCGGUGGCGAAGGCGGGUCUCUGGGCAGCAACUGACGCUGAGGAGCGAAAGCGUGGGGAGCGAACAGG